GAUAAACGCUGGCGGCGCACAUAAGACAUGCAAGUUGAACGGACUUAAUCGAAAUAUUUCUGUUUUGAAGCGGUUAGUGGCGGACUGGUGAGUAACGCGUAAGGAACCUGCCUAUUAGAGGGGAAUAACCGUGAGAAAUCAUUGCUAAUACCGCAUAUGCCAUAGAUAUCACACGAUAACAGUGGGACAGGAGCAAUCCGCUAAUAGAUGGCCUUGCGUCUGAUUAGAUAGUUGGUGGGGUAACGGCCUACCAAGUCGACGAUCAGUAGCCGGACUGAGAAGUUGAACGGCCAAAUUGGGACGGAGAUAAGGCCCAGAAUUCUACGGGAGGGAGCAGUCGGGAAAAUUGCGCAAGGGAGGUAACUCUGACGCAGUGACGCCGCGUAUAGGAAGAAAGUUUUCGGAUUGGAAACUAUUGUCGUUAGGGAAGAGAAAGGACAGUACCUAAGGAAUAAGCUCCGGCUAACUACGUG
Molecule: ribosomal RNA, 473 nt
Filed under: uncultured bacterium
Lineage: Bacteria
Description: partial 16S ribosomal RNA
Rfam family: Bacterial small subunit ribosomal RNA
Source: RNAcentral